UAAUAUUCAAAGCCAAAUUUAAUUCCCAAGAUGUGACUUGGAUUCAUUUUGAAAAUAAAUCAAAACCAAAAGAGAAUUAUUCAAAAACAGGUUUGCAUUUUAUUUGGAAGGAAACUAAGUUUAAUAAGUCCAAAUAAUAUUCUUGACCCUUUUCCAUAAAAUGAAUUUGGAACACUUUUGGUUUGAAACCAAAAUUCAAAUUCAAAUAGGAAAUAUAGGUGCAAGAAUUAUAUGUCAAUUUUCUCCUAACAAAAAGUUCACAUGUUCUUAAACAUUCCAAUUAUAAUUUAGAGAUUUUUCUUUGUUUCAAGAAAAUUCAAAUUCAAAUUCUAUUUGAAUUUACGAAUAGUCACAAAAAGAAAAAGGAAAGGAAACUAAAACAUGAAAGAACACAACAAACCAGCUGAUCCAACGAGUCACACCGAGGCCCGACUAGCUAGCCUAGCGAGGCCAACCCGACGCCCCAAUCUCUCUCUCCCACUACAACGAGGGCCCCACCAGUCAGCUUCGUCUCUCUCCCCCAAUCAGUACAUGCGCACGCACACAUGCACGACACGAGCCCCACAUCACCCACGUCCACCACCCCAUGCGGCCACCAUGAGAGAACGGCCAUGCCGCAAUGUCCUUCAAGUAGAGGAGGACCCCCAUUCCACUUCCCCUAUGUUUUUCGAAAGGCUGCUGUGAAUCAAGCUCGACAUCGUCGGUGCUCCCCUUGCCAUUGCCGGCAAGACUCCAUCCACCACAACCCUCCUAAGCCACGUCUUUGACACUUGUAUAUCCGCCACACGCAAGAGAACCCUAUGGACAUACUCUGUGACUCUAGGGACCCUUGGAACCCCGAAUAUGUAGGAUGCCGAACCUCUUCGCCGCCAUGCCAUGUUUUCCAGCAAGGUGAGCACGCACUAGACUUGCUCACCAUGUCCCUUGACUUUCCCGUGUUCGCGUACACCUCCUGAUCCUUUUAGUUCAUAUAGAGCUGCAUUGGAACGCUGCCCGCGUCACCACCCGAGGAGCUUCGGCAUUGCCGCAUCUUCGGCAAGCCUCUUGUCGUCGUUCCCGUCAUCCGAGAGGCUCGCCGACGCCACCAUCAUCCUCGCCGUGUUGCCCCAUGCUCGUCUAUGCUCUCUGCCAUCAUCGCCAACCACUAGGGUGUCGGAUCCAUCGAGUCCCGAAACGAUGCUUUUUUCUGUGCGUUUCUCGCGAAGAUCUGGGGAAAACUCUAGUGAGCCACCUGAAACCUUAACCCCAAUAUAAUAAUG
Molecule: long non-coding RNA, 1259 nt
Filed under: Hordeum vulgare
Lineage: Eukaryota; Viridiplantae; Streptophyta; Magnoliopsida; Poales; Poaceae
Description: long non-coding RNA (HVUL_LNC016105)
Source: RNAcentral